RNAcentral lists this long non-coding RNA (220 nucleotides) under Elaeis guineensis (African oil palm). RNAcentral's name for it is "long non-coding RNA (EGUI_LNC056312)". Lineage: Eukaryota; Viridiplantae; Streptophyta; Magnoliopsida; Arecales; Arecaceae. The record is from RNAcentral.
UGCUCAUGUUAGGGCGAGGUUCUCCUCUUGUCCCUAACAGGGCUAUGGAGGCGCAUAUGGGCACUAUAGGACCUCUCCCCCCAUCCGGUCUAAAAAUAAUCGGGCCUUCGACUUUGCUCAUGUUAGGGCGAGGUUCUCCUCCUGUCCCUAACAGGGUUGUGGGGGCAUAUAUGGGCGCUGUAGGGCCUCUCCCCCCAUCCGGUCUAAAGAUAACCAGGCC